Molecule: ribosomal RNA, 253 nt
Filed under: uncultured bacterium
Lineage: Bacteria
Description: partial 16S ribosomal RNA
Rfam family: Bacterial small subunit ribosomal RNA
Source: RNAcentral
UACGUAGGGUGCAAGCGUUGUCCGGAAUUAUUGGGCGUAAAGAGCGUGUAGGCGGCCCGGUUAGUCCGCUGUGAAAGUCCAGGGCUCAACCCUGGAAUGCCGGUGGAUACUGUCGGGCUAGAGUCCGGAAGAGGAGAGUGGAAUUCCCGGUGUAGCGGUGAAAUGCGCAGAUAUCGGGAAGAACACCCGUGGCGAAGGCGGCUCUCUGGGACGGUACUGACGCUGAGACGCGAAAGCGUGGGGAGCGAACAGG